This 1012-nucleotide long non-coding RNA is filed under the name Calidris pygmaea (Spoon-billed sandpiper). RNAcentral describes it as "lncRNA (ENSCPGG00000004136.1)". The record is from RNAcentral. Lineage: Eukaryota; Metazoa; Chordata; Aves; Charadriiformes; Scolopacidae.
GCGCGAGGGAGUGGCGGCGCUGGGCACGCUGGCCCGCCUCGCAAACACGUACACAGCCCUGCGAGCACACACACACACACACACACACAUACACACGGGAACCCGCCGCCUCCCGGCGCCGCCAGCCUUCCCUCGGGGGACCCGGCUUGGAGAGGUUGGAGCUUCGUGGCCAAGAGAUCUCCGGGAGGGAAGCGAUGCUGGGGAGCAGAGCGAGGGUCCCCCACGUGCCGAGGAGGAGCAGGGGCUGUGUUCCUCUUCACCAGGGAUGCUCUGCAGACAUCUGCCACCCAUAGCGCAGUGAGACCACACAACCGGUCCUGAGUCCUGGUCCUGGAGGCUGAGGAAGGUCAGAGCAUGUGAACAAAGAGGGAAUGAGACUCCAUCCUGGGCAGCCCAAGGGAUCCCACACGGCAGCCGAAUCAAUCCCUCCUGGUGUUUGUAUUUGGGGUUCGGACAGUUCUCACGUCAGGGAUGAGAUGAGUCCUGAUCGCCCUGCAGGAGCCCGCAGUGUCUGUGCUGGCAGAGAACUCAUCCGUGGCUUGCCUGGACGUGGCUCUGCUCUGUGGAGGUUGGCGUGGAGCAGGCGGUGUUGCCAGCUGCCCUCGCUGUGAAACGGGAAGGAAGGUGGUCCAGGAACGGCUGCCCAGCCAGCCCCAGAUGGAGGAUGCUGGACAAUCCCCAGCGGGGCAUCCCUGCAGGCGAAGAGUGUGACUCCUGCUGCCACCGCUCACCCGUGCUCCUGCCCCGCUGGGACCUCCUGCAGCGCACCGCAGCCGAGCCCCGGGGAAGAUGGUGGUGGGAGAAGACCAUGGCAUCAGGUAAGGCUGUGGUAUCAGAGCCAAGCCACCCUGCUACCGAGGCAGCAGAAGGCUCACCGGACACCUCCUCAGCUCUGCUGGCUGUCGGGGAGGGCUUUCCACCAGGUAAGAUGUUGCCUUUGGCAUCACCCAGACUUCCAGUAGUGAAUGUAGCAAGGCCUGGCACCACAGCUAAUUGACCCCCUGUCAUCCCU